This 440-nucleotide ribosomal RNA is filed under the name uncultured bacterium. RNAcentral describes it as "bacterial SSU rRNA". It matches the Rfam family "Bacterial small subunit ribosomal RNA", at positions 338 to 770 of the family's 1533-position model. The record is from RNAcentral.
CCUACGGGGGGCAGCAGUAGGGAAUCUUCCGCAAUGGACGAAAGUCUGACGGAGCAACGCCGCGUGAGUGAUGAAGGUUUUCGGAUCGUAAAACUCUGUUGUUAGGGAAGAACAAGUAUGAGAGUAACUGCUCGUACCUUGACGGUACCUAACCAGAAAGCCACGGCUAACUACGUGCCAGCAGCCGCGGUAAUACGUAGGUGGCAAGCGUUGUCCGGAAUUAUUGGGCGUAAAGCGCGCGCAGGCGGUCCUUUAAGUCUGAUGUGAAAGCCCACGGCUCAACCGUGGAGGGUCAUUGGAAACUGGGGGACUUGAGUGCAGGAGAGAAGAGUGGAAUUUACGGUGUAGCAGUGAAAUGCGUAGAUAUCAGGAGGAAUACCGAUGGCGAAGGCAGGUCUCUGGGCUGACACUGACGCUCAUGCACUAAAGCGUGGGGAGCA